Molecule: ribosomal RNA, 253 nt
Filed under: uncultured bacterium
Lineage: Bacteria
Description: partial 16S ribosomal RNA
Rfam family: Bacterial small subunit ribosomal RNA
Source: RNAcentral
UACGUAGGGGGCAAGCGUUGUCCGGAAUCAUUGGGCGUAAAGAGCGUGUAGGCGGCCCGGUAAGUCCGCUGUGAAAGUCCAGGGCUCAACCCUGGGAUGCCGGUGGAUACUGUCAGGCUCGAGUCCGGAAGAGGAGUGUGGAAUUCCUGGUGUAGCGGUGAAAUGCGCAGAUAUCAGGAGGAACACCAAUGGCGAAGGCAGCACUCUGGGACGUGACUGACGCUGAGACGCGAAAGCGUGGGGAGCAAACAGG